UACGGGGGGGGCAAGCGUUGUUCGGAAUUACUGGGCGUAAAGGGCUCGUAGGCGGCCAACUAAGUCAGACGUGAAAUCCCUCGGCUUAACCGGGGAACUGCAUCUGAUACUGGAUGGCUUGAGUUCGGGAGAGGGAUGCGGAAUUCCAGGUGUAGCGGUGAAAUGCGCAGAUAUCAGGAGGAACACCUGCGGCGAAGGCGGGUAGCUGGGCCGACACGUGACGCUGAGGCGCGAAAGCCAGGGGAGCGAACGGG
RNAcentral lists this ribosomal RNA (254 nucleotides) under uncultured bacterium. Its description in RNAcentral is "partial 16S ribosomal RNA". It matches the Rfam family "Bacterial small subunit ribosomal RNA", at positions 524 to 776 of the family's 1533-position model. The record is from RNAcentral.